Molecule: ribosomal RNA, 459 nt
Filed under: Klebsiella pneumoniae
Lineage: Bacteria; Pseudomonadati; Pseudomonadota; Gammaproteobacteria; Enterobacterales; Enterobacteriaceae
Description: bacterial LSU rRNA
Rfam family: Bacterial large subunit ribosomal RNA
Source: RNAcentral
GUCCGUAAGUCAUGGGAUUAAGUGGAAACGAUAGUGGGAACGCGAGUCGAGUACAGCCAGGAUGAUUGGCUUAGAAGUACAGCCAUCAUUUAAAGAAAGCGUAAUAGCUCACUGGUCGAGUCGGCCUGCGACGGAAGAUGUAACGGGGCUAAACCAUGCACCGAAGCUGCGGCAGCGACACUAUGUGUUGUUGGGUAGGGGAGCGUUCUGUAAGCCUGCGAAGGUGUGCUGUGAGGCAUGCUGGAGGUAUCAGAAGUGCGAAUGCUGACAUAAGUAACGAUAAAGCGGGUGAAAAGCCCGCUCGCCGGAAGACCAAGGGUUCCUGUCCAACGUUAAUCGGGGCAGGUGAGUCGACCCCUAAGGCGAGGCCGAAAGGCGUAGUCGAUGGGAAACAGGUUAAUAUUCCUGUACUUGGUGUUACUGCGAAGGGGGGACGGAGAAGGCUAUGUUAGCCGGGCG